UGCGCAGGCGGAUUGGUAGGCAUCUCGUGAAAGCCCACGGCUCAACCGUGGAAUUGCGGGGUGAACCACCAAUCUUGAGGCAGGUAGGGGUCGAUGGAACCAUGAGUGGACCGGUGAAAUGGAUAGAUAUUCAUGGGAACGCCAACGGCGAAGGCAAUCGACUGGGCCUGUCCUGACGCUCAGGCACGAAAGCGUGGGGAGCGAACG
RNAcentral lists this ribosomal RNA (207 nucleotides) under uncultured bacterium. Its description in RNAcentral is "partial 16S ribosomal RNA". It matches the Rfam family "Bacterial small subunit ribosomal RNA", at positions 568 to 774 of the family's 1533-position model. The record is from RNAcentral.